RNAcentral lists this ribosomal RNA (99 nucleotides) under uncultured Pseudomonadota bacterium. RNAcentral's name for it is "uncultured proteobacterium partial 16S ribosomal RNA". It matches the Rfam family "Bacterial small subunit ribosomal RNA", at positions 35 to 132 of the family's 1533-position model. The record is from RNAcentral. Lineage: Bacteria; Pseudomonadati; Pseudomonadota.
GCUGGCGGCGUGCUUAACACAUGCAAGUCGAACGAGAACGGUCCUUCGGGAUGUCAGCUAAGUGGCGGACGGGUGAGUAAUGUAUAGUUAAUCUGCCCU